AGUGAACGCUGGCGGUAUGCCUAACACAUGCAAGUCGAACGGCAGCACAGUGAGAGCUUGCUCUUACGGGGGGCGAGUGGCGGACGAGUGAGGAAUACAUCGGAAUCUACUUUUUCGUGGGGGAUAACGUCGGGAAACAUACGCUAAUACCGCAUACGACCUACGGGUGAAGGCGGAGGAUCUUCGGGUCUUGCGCGAGUGAAUGGGCCGAUGGCGGGUUAGCUAGUUGGCGGGGUAAAGGCGCACCAAGGCGACGAUCGGUAGCGGGUGUGAGAGGAUGAACCGCGCCACUGGAACUGGACCACGGUCCAGACUCCUAGGGGAGGCCCCAGUGGCGAAUAGAGGAAAAGGGGCGCAAGCCUGAUCCAGCCAUACCGCGCGGGUGAAGAAGGCCUUCGGGUUGGAAAGCCCUUUUGUUGUUAAAGAAAAGCAUCAGUUGAAUACCCCGCUGUUCUGACGGUACCCAAAGAAUAAGCACCGGCUAACUUCGUG
This 492-nucleotide ribosomal RNA is filed under the name uncultured bacterium. RNAcentral's name for it is "partial 16S ribosomal RNA". It matches the Rfam family "Bacterial small subunit ribosomal RNA", at positions 29 to 507 of the family's 1533-position model. The record is from RNAcentral.